GAUGUCGUUGAGGAAAAUGAAAGCAGUCGUGGCCAGGACUGGCGCAGCUGCCGUUUCAGGCGAGGGGCGCAGAAUGCAGCGGCGGCCAGCCUGGAGCGCGGGCCCUGGGGCCGCGGCCCGCGCCGGGCGAGGUGGCAGCACACCCUGGCCCCCCACCCUGCCGGCAGUCCUGAGGAUGGCCAGCAGAGAAACAAGAAAAUGGACUCCCUGGCUGCUGGAGAGUUGAAUGCCAGCCACCAGCCAUGGGUGCCAGAGUUUGUAGCCUAUUGGAGGAAAACACACCAAGACCAUCAUUGAAUGUCUAAAAUAUAUCUGUACUGGAGAUUUCCCUCCUGGAACCAAAGGAAAUACAUUUGUACAUGAUCCCAAGGUUGCUCAAGAAACAGAUGUGAGAGCCCAGAUUCGUCUGCAAUUUCGUGAUGUCAAUGGAGAACUUAUAGCUGUACAAAGAUCUAUGGUGUGUACUCAGAAAAGCAAAAAGACAGAAUUUAAAACUCUGGAAGGAGUCAUUACUAGAACAAAGCAUGGUGAAAAGGUCAGUCUAAGCUCUAAGUGUGCAGAAAUUGACCGAGAAAUGAUCAGUUCUCUUGGGGUUUCCAAGGCUGUGCUAAAUAAUGUCAUUUUCUGUCAUCAAGAAGAUUCUAACUGGCCUUUAAGUGAAGGAAAGGCUUUGAAGCAAAAGUUUGAUGAGAUUUUUUCAGCAACAAGGUUUGUAACCCUUAAAUAGACUUUGUAGUCCAUUAAGUUAUUGAACUGUGUUUGCAAUUUGGAUGCUUCUUUUUAACAGAAAAAAUUUGAAAAGCAGAAAGGUCAUCAGUUACUACCUCUCACCCAGCAGCAACCACUGGGCAUAUUUUCUUUCACUUGUCUUUCUGUGCGUAUAUUUAUUUACCUGAUUGACAGUAUAAAUGUAAUUUUUUUCACUUACCAUUAUAUCAUAGGCAUUUUACAAGUUAUUAAAAACUCAUUGUAACUGUAAUCUUAGUGACAGCAUAAUAUCCCACUGUAUGAAUAUAUACCACAAUUUACUUUGCCAGAAAUUUGAUUUUUGUUUCAUAUCUUCAAAGAUACAUUAAAGCCUUGGAAACACUUCGGCAGGUACGUCAAACACAAGGUCAGAAAGUAAAAGAAUAUCAAAUGGAACUAAAAUAUCUGAAGCAGUAUAAGGAAAAAGCUUGUGAGAUUCGUGAUCAGAUUACAAGUAAGGAAGCCCAGUUAACAUCUUCAAAGGAAAUUGUCAAAUCCUAUGAGAAUGAACUUGAUCCAUUGAAGAAUCGUCUAAAAGAAAUUGAACAUAAUCUCUCUAAAAUAAUGAAACUUGACAAUGAAAUUAAAGCCUUGGAUAGCCGAAAGAAGCAAAUGGAGAAAGAUAAUAGUGAACUGGAAGAGAAAAUGGAAAAGGUUUUUCAAGGGACUGAUGAGCAACUAAAUGACUUAUAUCACAAUCACCAGAGAACAGUAAGGGAGAAAGAAAGGAAAUUGGUAGACUGUCAUCGUGAGCUGGAAAAACUAAAUAAAGAAUCUAGGCUUCUCAAUCAAGAAAAAUCAGAACUGCUUGUUGAACAGGGUCGUCUGCAGCUACAAGCAGAUCGCCAUCAAGAACAUAUCCGAGCUAGAGAUUCAUUAAUUCAGUCUUUGGCAACACAGCUAGAAUUGGAUGGCUUUGAGCGUGGACCAUUCAGUGAAAGACAGAUUAAAAAUUUUCACAAACUUGUGAGAGAGAGACAAGAAGGGGAAGCAAAAACUGCCAACCAACUGAUGAAUGACUUUGCAGAAAAAGAGACUCUGAAACAAAAACAAAUAGAUGAGAUAAGAGAUAAGAAAACUGGACUGGGAAGAAUAAUUGAGUUAAAAUCAGAAAUCCUAAGUAAGAAGCAGAAUGAGCUGAAAAAUGUGAAGUAUGAAUUACAGCAGUUGGAAGGAUCUUCAGACAGGAUUCUUGAACUGGACCAGGAGCUCAUAAAAGCUGAACGUGAGUUAAGCAAGGCUGAGAAAAACAGCAAUGUAGAAACCUUAAAAAUGGAAGUAAUAAGUCUCCAAAAUGAAAAAGCAGACUUAGACAGGACCCUGCGUAAACUUGACCAGGAGAUGGAGCAGUUAAACCAUCAUACAACAACACGUACCCAAAUGGAGAUGCUGACCAAAGACAAAGCUGACAAAGAUGAACAAAUCAGAAAAAUAAAAUCUAGGCACAGUGAUGAAUUAACCUCACUGUUGGGAUAUUUUCCCAACAAAAAACAGCUUGAAGACUGGCUACAUAGUAAAUCAAAAGAAAUUAAUCAGACCAGGGACAGACUUGCCAAAUUGAACAAGGAACUAGCUUCAUCUGAGCAGAAUAAAAAUCAUAUAAAUAAUGAACUAAAAAGAAAGGAAGAGCAGUUGUCCAGUUACGAAGACAAGCUGUUUGAUGUUUGUGGUAGCCAGGAUUUUGAAAGUGAUUUAGACAGGCUUAAAGAGGAAAUUGAAAAAUCAUCAAAACAGCGAGCCAUGCUGGCUGGAGCCACAGCAGUUUACUCCCAGUUCAUUACUCAGCUAACAGAUGAAAACCAGUCAUGUUGCCCCGUUUGUCAGAGAGUUUUUCAGACAGAGGCUGAGUUACAAGAAGUCAUCAGUGAUUUGCAGUCUAAACUGCGACUUGCUCCAGAUAAACUCAAGUCAACAGAAUCAGAGCUAAAAAAAAAGGAAAAGCGGCGUGAUGAAAUGCUGGGACUUGUGCCCAUGAGGCAAAGCAUAAUUGAUUUGAAGGAGAAGGAAAUACCAGAAUUAAGAAACAAACUGCAGAAUGUCAAUAGAGACAUACAGCGCCUAAAGAACGACAUAGAAGAACAAGAAACACUCUUGGGUACAAUAAUGCCUGAAGAAGAAAGUGCUAAAGUAUGCCUGACAGAUGUUACAAUGAUGGAGAGGUUCCAGAUGGAACUUAAAGAUGUUGAAAGAAAAAUUGCACAACAAGCAGCUAAGCUACAAGGAAUAGACUUAGAUCGAACUGUCCAACAAGUCAACCAGGAGAAACAAGAGAAACAGCACAAGUUAGACACAGUUUCUAGUAAGAUUGAAUUGAAUCGUAAGCUUAUACAGGACCAGCAGGAACAGAUUCAACAUCUAAAAAGUACAACAAAUGAGCUAAAAUCUGAGAAACUUCAGAUAUCCACUAAUUUGCAACGUCGUCAGCAACUGGAGGAGCAGACUGUGGAAUUAUCCACUGAAGUUCAGUCUUUGUACAGAGAGAUAAAGGAUGCUAAAGAGCAGGUAAGCCCUUUGGAAACAACAUUGGAAAAGUUCCAGCAAGAAAAAGAAGAAUUAAUCAACAAAAAAAAUACAAGCAACAAAAUAGCACAGGAUAAACUGAAUGAUAUUAAAGAGAAGGUUAAAAAUAUUCAUGGCUAUAUGAAAGACAUUGAGAAUUAUAUUCAAGAUGGGAAAGAUGACUAUAAGAAGGUAAUUUAAAACUUAAAAUUAUUUAUUUGAUUGUAUUUUUAUUUCACGUGCUUAAAGAAUUUUCUUUUUUGUAGCAAAAAGAAACUGAACUUAAUAAAGUAAUAGCUCAACUAAGUGAAUGCGAGAAACACAAAGAAAAGAUAAAUGAAGAUAUGAGAAUCAUGAGACAAGAUAUUGAUACACAGAAGAUACAAGAAAGGUGGCUACAAGAUAACCUUACUUUAAGAAAAAGAAAUGAGGAACUAAAAGAAGUUGAAGAAGAAAGAAAACAACAUUUGAAGGAAAUGGGUCAAAUGCAGGUUUUGCAAAUGAAAAAUGAACAUCAGAAGUUGGAAGAGAACAUAGACAAUAUAAAAAGAAAUCAUAAUUUGGCAUUAGGGCGACAGAAAGGUUAUGAAGAAGAAAUUAUUCAUUUUAAGAAAGAACUUCGAGAACCACAAUUUCGGGAUGCUGAGGAAAAGUAUAGAGAAAUGAUGAUUGUUAUGAGGACAACAGAACUUGUGAACAAGGAUCUGGAUAUUUAUUAUAAGACUCUUGACCAAGCAAUAAUGAAAUUUCACAGUAUGAAAAUGGAAGAAAUCAAUAAAAUUAUACGUGACCUGUGGCGAAGUACCUAUCGUGGACAAGAUAUUGAAUACAUAGAAAUACGGUCUGAUGCCGAUGAAAAUGUAUCAGCUUCUGAUAAAAGGCGGAAUUAUAACUACCGAGUGGUGAUGCUGAAGGGAGACACAGCCUUGGAUAUGCGAGGACGAUGCAGUGCUGGACAAAAGGUAUUAGCCUCACUCAUCAUUCGCCUGGCCCUGGCUGAAACGUUCUGCCUCAACUGUGGCAUCAUUGCCUUGGAUGAGCCAACAACAAAUCUUGACCGAGAAAACAUUGAAUCUCUUGCACAUGCUCGAUAAUAAAAAGUCGCUCACAGCAGCGUAACUUCCAGCUUCUGGUAAUCACUCAUGAUGAAGAUUUUGUGGAGCUUUUAGGACGUUCUGAAUAUGUGGAGAAAUUCUACAGGAUUAAAAAGAACAUCGAUCAGUGCUCAGAGAUUGUGAAAUGCAGUGUUAGUUCCCUGGGAUUCAAUGUUCAUUAAAAAUAUCCAAGAUUUAAAUGCCAUAGAAAUGUAGGUCCUCAGAAAGUGUAUAAUAAGAAACUUAUUUCUGAUAUCAACUUAGUCAAUAAGAAAAUAUAUUCUUUCAAAGGAACAUUGUGUCUAGGAUUUUGGAUGUUGAGAGGUUCUAAAAUCAUGCAAUCUGUCCAAUUUUCAGUGAAACAAGUUUCCUGUUUCUGAUUCGCUGCUCUUCAUCCCAUUCCAAGCAGCCUCUGACAGGCCUUCAGGGUUCAGCAGUACAGCCGAGACUCGACUCUGUGCCUCCCUCCCCAGUGCAAAUGCAUGCUUCUUCUCAAAGCACUGUUGAGAAGGAGCUAAUUACUGCCUUGAAAAUUUAUGGUUUUGGUAUUUUUUUUAAAUCAUAGUUAAAUGUUACCUCUGAAUUUAUUUCCUUGCGUGUGGUUUGAAAAACUGAGUAUUAACAUAACUCAUAGUUAAAUGUUACCUCUGAAUUUAUUUCCUUGCGUGUGGUUUGAAAAACUGAGUAUUAAUAUCUGAGGAUGACCAGAAAUGGUGAGAUGUAUGUUUGGCUCUGCUUUUAACUUUAUAAAUCCAGUGACUUCUCUCUGGGACUUGGUUUCCCCAACUAAAAUUUGAAGUAGUUGAAUGGGGUCUCAAAGUUUGACAGGAACCUUAAGUAAUCAUCUAAGUCAGUACCCACCACCUUCUCCUCCUACAUAUCCCUCUUCCAGAUGGUCAUCCAGACUCAGAGCUCUCUCUACAGAGAGGAAAUUCUCCACUGUGCACACCCACCUUUGGAAAGCUCUGACCACUUGAGGCCUGAUCUGCCCAUCAUGAAGAAGCCUGUAACACUCCUCCGCCUCUAUCCUGUGUAGCAUACUGGUUUCACCAUCAAUCCUGAUUCCUCUCCAAGUGGGCAUUGCCAUGUGGAAGGCAAGCCAGGCUCACUCACAAAGUCAAGGCCUGCUCCCUGUAGGGUCCAACCAGACCUGGAAGAGCAGGCCUCUCCAUUUGCUCUUCAGAUGCCAUUUCUAAGAAAAGCCUAAUCACACUUUUUCCUGGAAUUGCCAGCUGACAUAUUGAAUCCUUCCAUUCCACACAGAAUGCAACCAAGUCACACACUUUUGAAUUAUGCUUUGUAGAGUUUUGUCAUUCAGAGUCAGCCAGGACCAUACCGGGUCUUGAUUCAGUCACGUGGCAUGGUUUUGUGCCAUCUGUAGCUAUAAUGAGCAUGUUUGCCUAGACAGCUUUUCUCAACUGGGUCCAGAAGAGAAUUAAGCCCUAAGGUCCUAAGGCAUCUGUGCUAGGUUAAAUGGUUGGCCCCCAAAGAUAGACAGGUCUUGAUUUCUAGAACCCGUGACUGUUACUUUAUAUGGCAAAGGAAACUUUGCAGAUGUGAUUAAAGCUAAGGACCUUAAGACAGAGUAUCCUGGGUGGGGGGAGGGGGGUCCUAAAUGUAAUCAUGAGUAAGAUUAAGAGCAAAUCAAUUCUAGUCAUAAAUUAAACAUCAACAAUAACCAAGAUAUUUUUAUCCCAAGAAUGCAAGAUUUCAGAAAAUGAAAAAUCUGUUGAUAAAUCAUCACUAUAAUAAAACCGAAGGGGAAAAAAUUUCUGAAAAAAUUCUAGCAGCUAUAUUUGAUAAAAUUCAACAUCUCCUAGCCUUAGCAAACGCAGUUUUGCAAAGAAUAUGUUCUUAAUGUUAUCUGUUGCUAAAUCAAAAUUAAACAGUCAUCUUAAUUGCAAAAUAAAACAUUUCUCAGUAAAUAUUAAAGCCAGUUACCUUCUAUCAACAUGUUAAUGAAAGUGCUAGUUGUUGCAGCAAGGAAUAACAAAGGCAAUACAAGAUCAAUAUAGGCAGUGAAACAAAAGUAUCAUUUGCAAGUUGAAACAGACGUCCCAAUUUUAAAUCUGGUUUCCCCCUGAGUAUGUAGCAUCCUUGGCAGCACUUCUGAGAGUGGCUGCUUUCAUUCCAAGAAGCCCAUGGGUUUGGAGAUGGGAUAGGUGCCUUUCUGGCUUCUCAUUGCUGCUUCUAGAUCAUUCUUCAAAUAUCCCCCUUCCCCACAUUGGAAUGAAUAGCCAUCACAGCAUGGAUGGAGGUUAGAAUGAGCCAGACUGCCUGGGCUCAAAUCCUAGCACACCACUCACUAGCUGGGGACCUUGAGCAAGUUAUUUGUCCUGUUUUGUUUCUGUUUCCUUAUAUGUAAAAGUGGGUAAAAUGGUACAUAUUUUGUAGGGUUGUUAUGAAGAUUGAACAACAUCAUUUACAAACUGCUUAGAAUUGCUUGCCACCUACUAAAUAGUGUGUAAGUGUUCAAGAAAAAGCUGUCUUCGUUUCACUCUUGUUGCAGUUAUCUUUCAUCCCCAGCUUGGUCACUCCCUCUUAUUUGUUGAAGAGUUUAGCUCCCGGUUCAGUGUCACCCCAUCACUAAUAAUCAUUGCUGAUUUCAAUACCCAAGUGAUGGUCUAAUACAACUCCUUGGCCUCUCAGCCUUUUUUUAUUUUUUUGAGGUGGAGUCUUGCUCUGUCACCCAGGCUGGGGUGCAAUGGCACCAUCUCAGCUCACUGCAACCUCUGCCUCCCUGAUACAAGCAAUCCUCCUGCCUCAGCCUCUUGAGUAGCUAGGAUUACAGGCAUGCACCACCACACCAGGCUAAUUUUUGUAUUUUUAGUAGAGACAGGGUUUCGCCUUGUUGGCCAGGCUGGUCUUGAACGUCUGGCUCAAGUGAUCUGCCUGCCUCAGCCUCCCUCAGCCCCUUUUUCUUUCCUCCAGUGAGAAGAUACUCAGUUCUAUGGUCUCAUUCUAGAGCCCGGUCCUUUUAAUAACAAUAACUGCAUCCCUCCAAAAUCUCAGUUUUAAGCAUCUCACUCUCCAAUAACCCCAUGGUGUCUACAAUUCUCCUGUGGUCCUCAACCCCAGCAAUUCUUUGACCCCACUGAGAUCUCAAUCCAUUGAUUCUAUGGCUUUUUCCCAGGUUGUUCCCCUGAUGUCUGUCCUUCUCUGCUUAUUCAACUUAAAUUCCAUGGCCCAUCAUUAUGUCACCCUCCACUGCAUUGUCUUCAAACUGUCCUGACAAUCCCCAGCCCUACUGGAAUCCAGCUCUGCCUCCUCCCUGCAACCUCCUUGCAAUACCUGCACAUCCCAUUUCCUUUGCUGUUUCCUCCUCAUUUCCCUGGCCCCUCAGUGUCACAGGUUUUAGUACUCACAGAGUCUGCACCUCUUUUCUUCUCUGUGCUCACUUAUUUGGUGAUCUCAUCCAGUCUCAUAGCUUUAAAUGAUCUUAGUUUGGGUUCUCCCAGAAGCAGAACGUAAAACAAUGCUUCACGUGAAAGUAAUCAGUAGGAAAUUGGGGAAAUUGUGUAUGAAAGAGAAAGCAGCCAAUGAAAAGUUUACUAUUAAGCCAGCUACGGUAAGUGGGCAAUUAGAGUUUGGUGCCCCAGGGAGACUCUGGGGAGUUUGGCCAAAUAUAUACCUCAGAAUUAUCCCACCUAAGGGGCAAGAGACCUGGAGUAUUUAUAUAACAACUUGCCAGGGUUACUGAGUGAGGGCUAUUCUAGCACAUGUUAGUUACUGGCUUGCCAUGUGUACCAGCACAGCUGAUCUCCACAGUUUAAAAAGAAAGUCUGAGCAACAUAGUGACACGCCAUCUUUACAUAAAAUUUUAAAAAAAUUAGCAAGGCAUGGUGGUACACACCUGGAGUCUCAGCUACUCGGCUGAGAUAGGAGGAUCCCUGGAGUCUGAGGGUUCAAGGCUACAGUGAGCUGUGAUGUGUGCCACUGCACCCCAGCCUGGGUGGCAGAGUGAGACCC
This 8309-nucleotide small RNA is filed under the name Pongo abelii (Sumatran orangutan). RNAcentral's name for it is "retained intron". The record is from RNAcentral. Lineage: Eukaryota; Metazoa; Chordata; Mammalia; Primates; Hominidae.